RNAcentral lists this ribosomal RNA (468 nucleotides) under uncultured bacterium. RNAcentral's name for it is "partial 16S ribosomal RNA". It matches the Rfam family "Bacterial small subunit ribosomal RNA", at positions 28 to 507 of the family's 1533-position model. The record is from RNAcentral.
GACGAACGCUGGCGGCGUGCUUAACACAUGCCAGUCGAACGGAAAGGCCCUGCUUUUGUGGGGUGCUCGAGUGGCGAACGGGUGAGUAACACGUGAGUAACCUGCCCUUGACUUUGGGAUAACUUCAGGAAACUGGGGCUAAUACCGGAUAGGAGCUCCUGCUGCAUGGUGGGGGUUGGAAAGUUUCGGCGGUUGGGGAUGGACUCGCGGCUUAUCAGCUUGUUGGUGGGGUAGUGGCUUACCAAGGCUUUGACGGGUAGCCGGCCUGAGAGGGUGACCGGCCACAUUGGGACUGAGAUACGGCCCAGACUCCUACGGGAGGCAGCAGUGGGGAAUAUUGCACAAUGGGCGGAAGCCUGAUGCAGCAACGCCGCGUGCGGGAUGACGGCCUUCGGGUUGUAAACCGCUUUCGCCUGUGACGAAGCGUGAGUGACGGUAGUGGGUAAAGAAGCACCGGCUAACUACGUG